CUCCCGGCNCGGGNNGNUAGUGACGAAAAAUAACGAUACGGGACUCAUCCGAGGCCCCGUAAUCGGAAUGAGUACACUUUAAACCCUUUAACGAGUAUCCAUUGGAGGGCAAGUCUGGUGCCAGCAGCCGCGGUAAUUCCAGCUCCAAUAGCGUAUAUUAAAGUUGUUGCGGUUAAAAAGCUCGUAGUUGGACUUGUGUCCCACGCUGUCGGUUCACCGUUCGUCGGUGUUAACUGGCAUGCCCGUGUGGACGUCCUGCCGGUGGAUGCGGUCGGCCGUGGGCCUCUGGUCUGCGCGUCGGCGGUCCGAUGCAAUCCUACCGCGGUGCUCUUCACCGAGUGUCGAGGUGGGCCGGCACGUUUACUUUGAACAAAUUAGAGUGCUCAAAGCAGGCAGUGGUUCGCCUGAAUAUUGUGUGCAUGGAAUAAUGGAAUAGGACCUCGGUUCUAUUUUGUUGGUUUUCGGAACUUGAGGUAAUGAUUAAUAGGGACAAAUGGGGGCAUUCGUAUUGCGACGUUAGAGGUGAAAUUCUUGGAUCGUCGCAAGACGAACCUAAGCGAAAGCAUUUGCCAUAAGUGUUUUCAUUAAUCAAGAACGAAAGUUAGAGGUUCGAAGGCGAUCAGAUACCGCCCUAGUUCUAACCAUAAACGAUGCCAGCUAGCGAUCCGCCGAAGUUCCUCCGAUGACUCGGCGGGCAGCUUCCGGGAAACCAAAGCUUUUGGGUUCCGGGGGAAGUAUGGUUGCAAAGCUGAAACUUAAAGGAAUUGACGGAAGGGCACCACCAGGAGUGGAGCCUGCGGCUUAAUUUGACUCAACACGGGAAACCUCACCAGGCCCGGACACCGGAAGGAUUGACAGAUUGAGAGCUCUUUCUUGAUUCGGUGGAUGGUGGUGCAUGGCCGUUCUUAGUUGGUGGAGCGAUUUGUCUGGUUAU
Molecule: ribosomal RNA, 934 nt
Filed under: Lonchodes philippinicus
Lineage: Eukaryota; Metazoa; Arthropoda; Insecta; Phasmatodea; Lonchodidae
Description: SSU rRNA
Rfam family: Eukaryotic small subunit ribosomal RNA
Source: RNAcentral